Plutella xylostella (diamondback moth) is the source of this 1224-nucleotide non-coding RNA. The record is from RefSeq and is a predicted model, not a curated record. Lineage: Eukaryota; Metazoa; Arthropoda; Insecta; Lepidoptera; Plutellidae.
UGGGCCAUUAUUUUAUUUUAGGGACAAUUAUCGGUCCCCUACAAAGAAACAUUUUAAAAAAAUUAAAUAAUGAAAUUCAGGAAUAUAGCUACCGUCUGUAGCAAUUAAAUAAGACACCGGUCACAGAAAAUAUAAUGAAUUUAUGUAAAAUACUUUAUUUAUUUACAAAUUACGGUAACUCUGUUGUUGUUUUUGGUAACGCAAUUGUUUUUCAUACAAAAAUUGUCUGUCCCUCGAAGCGAGUCAUAUGAAACAAACACAACGUGUGUAAAAAAUUAUAAUGGAAACAAUUUUUUUGAAUAUUAUAACGAAUAUGUCAUUAUUUAAACUUUACUUCACGGUAAUAUUCAUGAUUUUAUAUGAACAUAUUAUGGGACAAUUAAUAUUCCUGGCCGAGUCCCCAAGCCUAAGAAAAAAUCCACCUACACUAGGUUACCCUAGGAAAUUCAAUCAUAAAUAAACUUUUUUUCACUUUCUUACACCUAAGAUCAUUUGAAUGGCUGUGUAUUUGUAUCGGAGUGCAGGAAGGAGAGCGGGACGGAUAAAAUGACCAAGUCUUUCGGAUGAGAGUCCUGGAGAGAAGCGCGUGUAUUUAUUGUGACGCCACUGAGUUACCGGCGACAUACGUAUAACAUUUCAGACUCAAUGGCGUAAACAGCGGCUGAAAAACAACGGCUUUAUAGGCAAAAAAAAUGAGAAAUAUUUCUUAGUAUUAAGUUGUUAUAUUUUCAGCGAUUUUAAUGUUUGAUAUUAAACAAAGAGUUCUGUUAAUUUUAGUUUGAUAGUUUUUUUCACAUUAUGAUUAGUUUUAAUUGAAGAAAGUAUAAAGAUUGUGAUUGAGAAACCACUGUGUUACCAAUUAACCACUGCGUUAUCUAUUUGUCCCUCGUUUCCUGAGAGUAUUCACAAACAUUUUAGCUACUCUAUAUUAGAAAGAAUGUUAAACUAAAUAUAAUAAUUAUAAUUCACCUUAUUUAGAGCUAUUUCUAAAACUUUGAGCAAAAAAUUAUGAUUAUUUUGUCCUUUUUUCGAAAAGUAUUGCAUCAAAACUUAUUGAUUGGUAACGCAGUGGGAAACUUUAUUAUAGAAUGAAUAACAAAACUGAGAAUAUUUCGUAAUUUAAACUGUUAGAUUAAUGUUUUUUUUCUUACUUUUUAUCUGGUAUAUGUUUACGAACCAAAAUAUAUGUUCCUAACAAUAAAACAUAAUUUUGUAUGAAAGUAA